GUGGGGAAUCUUCCGCAAUGGACGAAAGUCUGACGGAGCAACGCCGCGUGAGUGAUGAAGGUCUUCGGAUUGUAAAGCUCUGUUAAUCGGGACGAAAGAGCCUAGUGUGAAUAAUGCUAGGAAGUGACGGUACCGGAAUAGAAAGCCACGGCUAACUACGUGCCAGCAGCCGCGGUAAUACGUAGGUGGCAAGCGUUGUCCGGAAUUAUUGGGCGUAAAGCGCGCGCAGGCGGAUCUGCCAGUCUGUCUUAAAAGUUCGGGGCUUAACCCCGUGAUGGGAUGGAAACUACAGAGCUAGAGUAUCGGAGAGGAAAGUGGAAUUCCUAGUGUAGCGGUGAAAUGCGUAGAUAUUAGGAAGAACACCAGUGGCGAAGGCGACUUUCUGGACGAAAACUGACGCUGAGGCGCGAAAGCCAGGGGAGCGAACGGGAUUAGAUACCCUGGUAGUCC
This 450-nucleotide ribosomal RNA is filed under the name uncultured bacterium. Its description in RNAcentral is "partial 16S ribosomal RNA". It matches the Rfam family "Bacterial small subunit ribosomal RNA", at positions 354 to 796 of the family's 1533-position model. The record is from RNAcentral.